AGUCAACAUAACCAAAGGACGUGGAUAAACUCGGGAAACUGAGGCUAAACCGCGAUAGAUCAAGAUACCUGGAAUGGUUUUUGAUCAAAAUCUAUAUGGCCUUUGGAUUGGACUGCGUCCGAUCAGGCUGUUGGUGAGGUAAUGGCCCACCAAACCUAUAACCGGUACGGGCUCUGAGAGGAGGAGCCCGGAGAUGGGUACUGAGAUAAGGACCCAGGCCCUAUGGGGCGCAGCAGGCGCGAAACCUCUGCAAUAGGCGAAAGCUUGACAGGGUUACUCUGAGUGACUUUCGUUAAGAAAGUCUUUUGACACCUCUAAAAAUGGUGUAGAAUAAGGGGUGGGCAAGUCUGGUGUCAGCCGCCGCGGUAAUACCAGCACCCCGAGUGGUCGGGACGAUUAUUGGGCCUAAAGCAUCCGUAGCCGGCCUUACAAGUCCUCCGUUAAAUCCAGCUGCUUAACAGAUGGGCUGCGGAGGAUACUAUAAGACUAGGAGGCAGGAGAGGCAAGCGGUACUCAGUGGGUAGGGGUAAAAUCCGUUGAUCCAUUGAAGACCACCAGUGGCGAAGGCGGCUUGCCAGAAUGCGCUCGACGGUGAGGGAUGAAAGCUGGGGGAGCAAACCGGAUUAGAUACCCGGGUAGUCCCAGCCGUAAACGAUGCAGACUCGGUGAUGGACUAGCUUUAUGCUGGUCCAGUGCCGCAGGGAAGCCGUUAAGUCUGCCGCCUGGGUAGUACGGUCGCAAGACUGAAACUUAA
This 754-nucleotide ribosomal RNA is filed under the name uncultured archaeon. RNAcentral describes it as "bacterial SSU rRNA". It matches the Rfam family "Archaeal small subunit ribosomal RNA", at positions 102 to 859 of the family's 1478-position model. The record is from RNAcentral.